UACAGAGGUGGCAAGCGUUGUUCGGAAUUACUGGGCGUAAAGGGCGCGUAGGCGGCCUUCUAAGUCGAACGUGAAAUCCCUGGGCUCAACCCAGGAACUGCGUCCGAUACUGGAAGGCUUGAAUCCGGGAGAGGGAUGCGGAAUUCCCGGUGUAGCGGUGAAAUGCGUAGAGAUCGGGAGGAACACCAGAGGCGAAGGCGGCGACCUGGACAAGUACUGACACUCAACUACGAAAGCGUGGGGAGCAAACAGG
This 253-nucleotide ribosomal RNA is filed under the name uncultured bacterium. Its description in RNAcentral is "partial 16S ribosomal RNA". It matches the Rfam family "Bacterial small subunit ribosomal RNA", at positions 524 to 776 of the family's 1533-position model. The record is from RNAcentral.